Molecule: long non-coding RNA, 359 nt
Organism: Choloepus didactylus (southern two-toed sloth)
Lineage: Eukaryota; Metazoa; Chordata; Mammalia; Pilosa; Megalonychidae
Exons: 3
Source: RefSeq, a predicted model, not a curated record
AAACAAAAGGGCCUCUCUGGCCCGCCUUGCUCAGGUGACUGAAUGAGAAGUUCAGGCCGCCCUCCCAGCACAGAAGCUUUGAGCAACCAGCAAGAACUGGCAGAAACAUCUGUCUCAAAGCUCCUGAAAACAGACCUGCUGUAAAAGAAAUGCCAAAGGAAAUUCUGACAGCAGGAAAAUGACAGCAGAAGAAAAGUUGGAAUGUCAGGAAAGAAGGAAGACUAACAGAAAUGGUUAAGUUGCCAUUGGACACUGUGAAACCUUGGAAAGCCGUAAAUACAGAAGAGACAUUUGUUUGUCCUAAAUGGACUAGGUGUUAGCUCUGAUUAAAAUUUCAUAAGUACUUGGGUUUAAAUGCU